GACGAACGCUGGCGGCGUGCCUAAUACAUGCAAGUUGAGCGCUGAAGGUUGGUACUUGUACCAACUGGAUGAGUAGCGAACGGGUGAGUAACGCGUGGGGAAUCUGCCUUUGAGCGGGGGACAACAUUUGGAAACGAAUGCUAAUACCGCAUAAAAACUUUAAACACAAGUUUUAAGUUUGAAAGAUGCAAUUGCAUCACUCAAAGAUGAUCCCGCGUUGUAUUAGCUAGUUGGUGAGGUAAAGGCUCACCAAGGCGAUGAUACAUAGCCGACCUGAGAGGGUGAUCGGCCACAUUGGGACUGAGACACGGCCCAAACUCCUACGGGAGGCAGCAGUAGGGAAUCUUCGGCAAUGGACGAAAGUCUGACCGAGCAACGCCGCGGGAGUGAAGAAGGUUUUCGGAUCGUAAAACUCGGUUGGUAGAGAAGAACGUUGGUGAGAGUGGAAAGCUCAUCAAGUGACGGUAACUACCCAGAAAGGGACGGCUAACUACGUG
RNAcentral lists this ribosomal RNA (497 nucleotides) under uncultured bacterium. RNAcentral's name for it is "partial 16S ribosomal RNA". It matches the Rfam family "Bacterial small subunit ribosomal RNA", at positions 28 to 507 of the family's 1533-position model. The record is from RNAcentral.